GCAAGGGGACAAAAUAUUGUUUCCAAGAAAAGUUCCCUCGUCACCUUCUCUUUGACUAGCCUUUGUGGUUUGUGAAAGGAAAGCUAAAGAAACCCUCAACAUUCUCUCUCGUCAAUCUGGUAAAACUUUUUAAACAGAAAUCCUCACUCUCUGAGCCACCGCCUCCGUUUCCUAGUCAGGUUGGACUUGUUAGCAUGGGACUACAUAUCUGGUGAAGUUGCAAUUGGUUCCUUGGAUAAUGUUCUAUUGAUGGAGUUUUUGACAGUUAUAUGCUCAAAUGAUAUUUGUACAGCUGAACAGGUGGAUUUUUCAAAACUUUGGAAAAGAGUACAGGGAGUAACGUGUGGGUACCACUGCCGUGACUUCUUUUUUAUGAUUUAUCUCAAUAUUUUCAGAAAUUCUUUCUGUUUCAUUUUGUGAUAUUUUUUUCCUGGUUAAACUAAGUUCUGGAUUACAGGGUACUACACGGGGAUGUUAGAGAGGUGCAGGAAGUGGAGUAUUAAGUUUUAUUUGCACAAUGAACAUGAGAUGCACUGAUAUAUGGAUGUUUAUGCCUGACCGUAGUCGCUUUACUUAUUUGUUUGCUGUCUGAUAUUUAUUUAUGCCUGACCAAAUGUAUCUUUUUUCUCUUUUUCUAUUUCUCUGAGUAGUUUUGUUCUUCUAAAUAGAUUAUGUGAUCAUUCAAAGUGAAUAAAGUCAGAAAUCUAGUAUUUUUUGCAAUAAAUGUGAAAUAAAUUACUGCAAGUUGAUUAUUGACUUCUGUCAGUUUCUAUGGUUGGAACCGGAGUUGGAAGUGAAUUUGUACAAUGUCAUAGACGUGCACCUAUGUGGUAGGUUUAAUAUGUAGAGCCCUUGAUCCUAAUUUGAUUUAAUGAAACCUGAUGUUUUGUCAAAGAUUACAUAAUGGGCUGUGAAUAGGUUUGGCGUCAAGGGUGAUCUCUUUUUAGCUCUUCGAGUUUGAGGUGGCUUCCUUCCUUUUACCCUAUUUUUGUUUACUCUCAUUGUUCGUUUGGUUUGUUUUUCCUUUUAAUCUCUUGGUACUUUUUAGCUCUAUGGAGUGGCUUUGUCUAACUCUUAGAGGUAAGUACUAUCCUUUUUGGUUAAGUUGAAAAAAUUAUUAAAUUUUGUUUAUAACUUGAGAUUUGAUUCUUAUCCCUUUCUUGGGUUUUUGGUCUCCCUCGCUUGAAUUAAAAUUUUCAGAUAUUUUUGGUUGUUUGGAAACAGGCGUAUUUCUUUUCGAUGGAUAGCUGAGCUGUCUGCCAUCUCUGUUUGUCUCAUGCUGACUUGGGCAUGCCAGCGUGGGGUAAUUGAGCGGUGAGCAGAUAUGGUUUUCCAUCAUCCAGAGAGAGGCCAUUGGAUGCUCAAGUUUGACUAGAAGUCUAAUAUGAUUGGGCGACGGGUUGGGCAAAGCAAAUUCGCAUGAAUUCCUCAAGAAUCAAGCCAACGUGAAAUGGUAUAUGGAUGGUCCUGGCUGGUCCGUCAAAUGUUACAACUUUUCAGCCUUUGUCCUUUUGGAUGGGACCCAUAUGAAACGAAUCAAAACAUCGACGGAGCUCUUUAUUUUAACAAGAUAAUGGCAAGCAAGGCAUGGGACUGGCUUUUAUCACGAUUCUCCGCAUAUUCUCAACCACUGGAUCUGUUCCACGGUCCUCUUGUUGUCAUUGCUUUAUUUAUUUCUCUAGAUUUGCUCUGAUCUCAAAGAUCUUAUAAAAUUGAUUUUUGCUUGGUAGAGUUUCAAGGGAUUGUACUAUUCCAAGGCCGCGACCUUUUCCUUUUGGCGGAAAAGAAUCUUUCGCGGGUACGUGGUAUCGACAAAGACAUGCGUUUGUGAAUGGUCCAUAAACAAAGAUGGAUAUUUGUGUAUUAGAGAGGUGUAACUCCAUGCCCCUAGGCCAGGCAUCUUCUAGGGAAAGUCAAUUCACUUUCCGAUACGCAACUUUGGUCAUCAUAUUCAUGGGCAUUUGAUUUUCAUUUUCCAUGAUUCUGGUCCUGGUCCUGGUCGGAUUGUCCGCGUUAAAAUAUUUACAGCUUAUGACGCUGGAAGUUGCUUUGCUUUUAAGAAAUGAGAAACACAAGGUAAAACAUACCAAGAGUGGAACGCUGGAAGCCGUCUCCAGGGGGGAAUAAGAAUAUUGAAAAUAAAAUAACUUGGACUUAGACUUGGAAGAAACACACCAGCUUGUUGCGCGAAAAGCAUGAAGUUUCUUAUUAGCAGAUAUGGAUUAUAUUUAAGAGUAAAUUGUAAAUCAUUUUUAUUUUUACAUUUUAAAUUGUAAUUUGUUGAUUUUUAUAUUUUUAAA
Theobroma umbraticum is the source of this 2300-nucleotide long non-coding RNA. RefSeq lists it as uncharacterized. The record is from RefSeq and is a predicted model, not a curated record. Lineage: Eukaryota; Viridiplantae; Streptophyta; Magnoliopsida; Malvales; Malvaceae.